UGCGGCGGCGGGCGGCCUGUAACGUGUGAAGACGUUUUUCCAUCUACUGAUAAUAAAUCCUGUCUCCAGUAAUAGCACAUGAAUGAUUGUGAGUUGUUGGCUAUGGUUAAUCGGAAGAAGCGGUUAAUAGUAGAAAUCAAUAUAGACAACUGAUGUUCUGUAAUGCAAUGCAUAGUACAUAUUUAUACUUCCACCUAGCUUAACUAUUCCUUCCAGAACAGUUAGAGACCACUGAUUCUGUUGAUCUACCGGUGGUAUUCAUGUAGUUGAAUACGAUAUGCUGUCAAAAUUUUAUAAAAACAGACAAAACUAUGUCAAUUUUGUUACCACAAAUUUUUAAAAUUUUGUUUAAAUUUUAG
RNAcentral lists this long non-coding RNA (359 nucleotides) under Oryza brachyantha (malo sina). RNAcentral describes it as "long non-coding RNA (OBRA_LNC000859)". The record is from RNAcentral. Lineage: Eukaryota; Viridiplantae; Streptophyta; Magnoliopsida; Poales; Poaceae.